RNAcentral lists this ribosomal RNA (916 nucleotides) under uncultured bacterium. RNAcentral describes it as "bacterial SSU rRNA". It matches the Rfam family "Bacterial small subunit ribosomal RNA", at positions 10 to 916 of the family's 1533-position model. The record is from RNAcentral.
AGUUUGAUCCUGGCUCAGGAUGAACGCUAGCUACAGGCUUAACACAUGCAAGUCGAGGGGAAACGACAUCGAAAGCUUGCUUUUGAUGGGCGUCGACCGGCGCACGGGUGAGUAACGCGUAUCCAACCUGCCCACCACUUGGGGAUAACCUUGCGAAAGUAAGACUAAUACCCAAUGACGUCUCUAGAAGACAUCUGAAAGAGAUUAAAGAUUUAUCGGUGAUGGAUGGGGAUGCGUCUGAUUAGCUUGUUGGCGGGGUAACGGCCCACCAAGGCGACGAUCAGUAGGGGUUCUGAGAGGAAGGUCCCCCACAUUGGAACUGAGACACGGUCCAAACUCCUACGGGAGGCAGCAGUGAGGAAUAUUGGUCAAUGGACGAGAGUCUGAACCAGCCAAGUAGCGUGCAGGAUGACGGCCCUAUGGGUUGUAAACUGCUUUUAUAAGGGAAUAAAGUGAGUCUCGUGAGACUUUUUGCAUGUACCUUAUGAAUAAGGACCGGCUAAUUCCGUGCCAGCAGCCGCGGUAAUACGGAAGGUCCGGGCGUUAUCCGGAUUUAUUGGGUUUAAAGGGAGCGUAGGCCGGAGAUUAAGCGUGUUGUGAAAUGUAGACGCUCAACGUCUGCACUGCAGCGCGAACUGGUUUCCUUGAGUACGCACAAAGUGGGCGGAAUUCGUGGUGUAGCGGUGAAAUGCUUAGAUAUCACGAAGAACUCCGAUUGCGAAGGCAGCUCACUGGAGCGCAACUGACGCUGAAGCUCGAAAGUGCGGGUAUCGAACAGGAUUAGAUACCCUGGUAGUCCGCACGGUAAACGAUGGAUGCCCGCUGUUGGUCUGAAUAGGUCAGCGGCCAAGCGAAAGCAUUAAGCAUCCCACCUGGGGAGUACGCCGGCAACGGUGAAACUCAAAGGAAUUGACGG